RNAcentral lists this long non-coding RNA (784 nucleotides) under Marmota monax (woodchuck). The record is from RNAcentral. Lineage: Eukaryota; Metazoa; Chordata; Mammalia; Rodentia; Sciuridae.
GAAUUAAUGCUCAAAAAGCAAAAAGAAAAAAAAAAGAAAAAAAGAAAGAAAGAAAAAAGUUUACCACUCUUACUAGGUUUCAGGGAAGCCUUUUCAGGGACCCAACACCCCCAUCCUGAAUAGAUCUGAGUCAGUAUUCACCAGUGCACAGGGAGUCUGGGCAUCCCAGACCUGGGGACUGUGUGUUUGACAGAAAGGAGGCAUGAGAAGGCACAUGUUUUUGCUUUUUGCAGCUGGGAAUGGAGUGACCAUCGGGUGAGGAGUAAGAGACUUGGAAAAGAUGAGAUCAGAUAAUAUGAGGCAUUGUGUCUACUGAGAACUUACUUUAAUAAUCAGUUGGAUGGUGUAUAAGAUUUUAUAGAAGAGAAUUACAUAGGAUUUGACUAUUAGAAACAGGACCCUGGCAGUAACUGGCAGGAUGGGUUCCAGAACAAGGGGACUAAUAAUUAUAAUAAUUACUAGCUGUCACUCUGAAUCUGGCACUGUGUGAGUGGUUUUCAUAGAUUCCAUGAUUUAAUCACAGAAAACUCUAUGAACAAAGUACAAUUAUUUCCAGUUUGCAGGUGUGAAAAAACCAAGACCCUGACAGGGUAAGUGAUUUGCCCAAGGACUCACAGCUAAAAGAGGUUGAGGCAGAACUGGAACCCAAGCAAACCGGCUAAGGCAGGAUCUUGGUUAGAGAGCUGUUAGGAUGACCUCGGGUUACAGAUGCUGAGGAUGGAAUGAAGGCAAUAGCAGUGGAGCUUGUAAAGAAAGAACCAGCCUCAGCUUUGUAUCCUUGAGG